Long non-coding RNA from Oncorhynchus nerka (sockeye salmon), 3030 nucleotides. RefSeq lists it as uncharacterized. The transcript has 2 exons. NCBI's taxonomy places the organism in Eukaryota, Metazoa, Chordata, Actinopteri, Salmoniformes, Salmonidae. The record is from RefSeq and is a predicted model, not a curated record.
UUCCGGUGCCGACAGAGAUGGCCGCCUCGCUUUGCGUUCCUAGGAAACUAUGCAUUAUUUUGCCCUAACCCAUUAUUUUUACGUGUUAUUUCUUACAUUGGUACCCCAGGUAAUCUUAGGUUUCAUUACAGACAGUCGGGAAGAACUACUGAAUAUAAGAGCAACGUCAACUCACCAUCAGUACGACCAGGAAUAUGACUUUCCCGAAGCGGAUCCUGUGUUUUGCCUUCCACCCAGGACAACGGAAUGGAUCCCAGCCUGCGACCCAAAACAACGAUGUCGUAAAAGAGGCAAACGAAGCGGUCUUCUGGUCAGGCUCCAGAGAUGGGCACAUCGCGCACCACUCCCUAGCAUUCUACUCGCCAAUGUCCAGUCUAUUGACAACAAGGUUGAUGAAUUCCGAGCAAGGGUAGCAUUCCAGAGAGACAUCAGAGACUGUAACGUUCUUUGCUUCACGGAAACAUGGCUCACUCGAGAGACGCUAACGGAAUCGGUGCAGCCAGCUGGUUUCUUUCACGCAUCGCGCGGACAGAAACAAACGUAUUUCUGGUAAGAAGAGGGGCGGGGUCGUAUACCUUAUGAUUAAUCAGACGUGGUGUGAUCACAACAACAUACAGGAACUCAAGUCAUUCUGUUCACCUGACUUAGAAUUCCUCACAAUCAAAUGUCGACCGCAUUAUCUUCCAAGGGAAUUCUCUUCGAUUAUAAUCACAGCCGUAUAUAUUCCCCCAAGCAGACACAUCGAUGGCCCUGAACGAACUUUAUUUGACUCUUUGCAAACUGGAAACCACAUAUCCUGAGGCUGCAUUCAUUGUAGCUGGGGAUUUUAAUAGGGCUAAUCUGAAAACAAGACUCCCUAAAUUGUAUCAGCAUAUCGAUUGCGCAACCAGGGCUGGUAAAACCUUGGAUCAUUGUUAUUCUAACUUCCGCGACGCAUAUAAGCCCCCCCCCCUCCCCCGCAACCAAAACCUGUGGACUCUCCUUCACUGCAGCCGACGUGAGUAAAACAUUUAAACGUGUUAACCCUCGCUGGGCUGCAGGCCCAGACGGCAUCCCCAGCUGCGUCCUCAGAACAUGCGCAGACCAGCUGUUUACGGACAUAUUCAAUAUAUACUUAUCCCAGUCUGCUGUUCCCACAUGCUUCAAGAGGGCCACCAUUGUCCCUGUUCCCAAGAAAGCUAAGGUAACUGAGCUAAACGACUACCGCCCUGUAGCACUCACUUCCCUCAUCAUGAAGUGCUUUGAGAGACUAGUCAAGGACCAUAUCACCUCCACCCUACCUGACACCCUAGACCCACUCCAAUUUGACUACCGCCCAAAUAGGUCCACAGACGAUGCAAUCUCAACCACACUGCACACUGCCCUAACCCAUCUGGACAAGAGGAAUACCUAUGUGAGAAUGCUGUUCAUCGACUACAGCUCAGCAUUUAACACCAUAGUACCCUCUAAACUCGUCAUCAAGCUCGAGACCCUGGGUCUCAACCCUGCCCUGUGCUACUGGGUACUGGACUUCCUGAAGGGCCGCCACCAGCUGGUGAGGGUAGGUAACAACAUCUCCGGCCGACAGGGAGGAGGUUUUGGGCCCUCAGAGUGUGGUGUCAGGAAAAUAACCUCACACUCAAAGUCAACAAAACAAAGGAGAUGAUUGUGGACUUCAGGAAACAGCAGAGGGAGCACCCCCCUAUCCACAUCGAUGGGACAGUAGUGGAGAGGGUAGUAAGUUUUAAGUUCCUCGGUGUACACAUCACGGACAAACUGAAUUGGUCCACCCACACAGACAGCGUCGUGAAGAAGGCGCAGCAGCGCCUCUUCAACCUCAGGAGGCUGAAGAAAUUUGGCUUGUCACCAAAAGCAUUCACAGACUUCUACAGAUGCACAAUCGAGAGCAUCCUGUCGGGCUGUAUCACCGCCUGGUACGGCAAUUGCUCCACCCACAACCGUAAGGCUCUCCAGAGGGGUCUGCACAACGCAUCACCGGGGGCAUACUACCUGCCCUCCAGGACACCUACACCACCCAAUGUCACAGGAAGGCCAUAAAGAUCAUCAAGGACAACAACCACCCGAGCCACUGCCUGUUCACCCCGCUAUCAUCCAGAAGGUGUGAAGAAUGUAUUUUGCUGGAGUGUGGUCCAGGGUAACCUGACCCGAACAGGCCAGUCAUGACAUUACCUACCCUCGCCACCUGGAGGUGGCCCAUCAAGUCCCGGAUCCAGUUGCAGAAGGAGUUGUUCAGUCCCGGGUCCUGAGCUUGGUGAUGAGCUUGGAGGGGACUAUGGUGUUGAACGCUGAGCUGUAGCCAAUGAACAGCAUUCUCACAUAGGUAUUCCUCUUGUCCAGGUGAGAAAGAACGUUGGGGAGUGCAGUAGCGAUUGCAGUGUUUGUGGAUCUGUUGGGGCGGUAUGCGAAUUGGAGUGGGUCCAGGGUGUUUGGGAUGAUAGUGUUGAUGUGAGCCAUGGCCAGCCUUUCAAAGCAUUUCAUGGUUACAGAUGUGAAUGUUAUGGGACGAUAGUCAUUUAGGCAGGUAACCUUUGAGUUCCUAGGAACAGGGACAAUGGUGGUCUGCUUCAUCCAGAGAUAAAGCUGGGGCCUCUGGAUCCAAAGACGCUUCUUACUGAAGCACGCUCGCUCGCUUGAUAUCAUUAGUGUGAUCUCUUUGCAUGAAAUCUAGAUGAAGAAUUUAUUUUGGAUAAUUGAUGAGUCAAGUGAUUUGGAUUCUGUGUAUUUAAACCCUCUUGUGUUUCUGUUCUAAGCGGCCACCCACAGGAAGUGAAUGCAGUCCAUAGCAUGGUGGAUCCCAGGUUUUGCUAGUACAUGUAGGGCUUUCGUUUGGUCAGUGCAUGGCUAAUGGAGGUAGUUUUAGUGAGAUGAAAUGGGAUGAUUUUGAGUCUUGCGAUGAUUUUGAGUAGCAUGGUUUUAUAGUUAAAAUAAAUUAUAUUUAUGGAAACAAUGCAAUUGAAUGGAAAUGAGAAACUGGAAUGUGUUUGAAAUGUAAAUAUAGAAAACCAUGCCUUAAAAUUUUUAAAAAUGGUC